Long non-coding RNA from Cyanistes caeruleus (blue tit), 1001 nucleotides. Ensembl annotates it as microfibril associated protein 2. The record is from Ensembl. Lineage: Eukaryota; Metazoa; Chordata; Aves; Passeriformes; Paridae.
CAGCUGUGACUCUGGAUCCUGGGAGUGAUCCUGACAUCCCGGGAAUGAUCCCGGGAAGGAUCUCGCCAUCCCAGCUGUGAUCCCGGAUCCCAGGAGUGAUCCUGACAUCCUGGGAAUGAUCCCGGGACCGAUCCCACAUCCCGGGAAUGAUCCCGGCACCAAUCCCACAUCCCGGGAACGAUCCUGGGACUGAUCCCACAUCCCGGGACUGAUCCCACAUCCCGGGACUGAUCCCACAUCCCGGGAAUGAUCCCACAUCCCGGGACUGAUCCCACAUCCUGGGACUGAUCCCACAUCCCGGGACUGAUCCCACAUCCCGGCGUUUCUCCUCCCUGCUCUGCCCGCGGGAUAUUCCAGGGCUUGGUCCCUGCGAAUCCCCUGGGAAGGGGCGGGACGCCUUUCGGGGGAAAUUCCUUCAUUUCUGAGGUUUUCUGGAAUCCCCCCCUGACUCGGAUUCCCUCUGUUCCCACCCAGAUCCUCCGGCUCCGUCCCGUCCCUCGUUCCAGCAGGAUGAGAGCGGCGGAGCUCCUGCUGCUGUGUCUGCCAGCGCUCCUGGUGCAGGGCCAGUACAGCCGCUUCGAGGGCAUCACGUACCCCGAGCCAGUCCAGUACUCCCAGUACGACCAGCAGGCCGAAAUUCAGGAUUACUACGAUUACCACGGUGAGUGUUUCCCCCCCGGGACCCCGGCGGGGGGAUCGGGGUUUGGGGGUGUCCCUGCACCGGCUCUGUCCUUGCAGAUGUCACCCCCCGAGUCCCGGAGGAGCAAUUCCGGUACCAAUCCCAGCAGCAAUCCCAGCAGGAAACCGUGCCGGCCCCGACCCCAGGUGGGUGACAGUCCCCAGGUGGGUGACAGUCCCCAGGUGGGUGGGUGACAGUCCCCAGGGGUGGGUGACAGUCCCGGGGGUGGGUGACAGUCCCCAGGUGGGUGACAGUCCCCAGGGUGGGUGACAGUCCCCAGGUGGGUGACAGUCCCCAGGGGUGGGUGACAGUCCCGGGGGUG